RNAcentral lists this ribosomal RNA (581 nucleotides) under Helicotylenchus brevis. RNAcentral describes it as "eukaryotic LSU rRNA". The stretch from base 405 to 581 matches the Rfam family "Eukaryotic large subunit ribosomal RNA", at positions 665 to 813 of the family's 3401-position model. Lineage: Eukaryota; Metazoa; Nematoda; Chromadorea; Rhabditida; Hoplolaimidae. The record is from RNAcentral.
CCGGUGAGGUGGAAACGGACAGAGCUGGCGUAUCUGGCCUGUGUUCAGCCGUGGGCUCGUCGGCGCCAGGGAUGCCGCUCUCCAGAUUGGGACGGUGGUCUGGCUGCUGGUGGGCUUGUGGUGCAUUGGCAGGUGGAGUGCGCUGAGGCGCUCGGUGCAGCGGCAUGCACUCGGCCUUGAGGCCAGCCCGCAAGGUGUCUGGUACCCGGACCGGGGGAGUGUUGUUUGCGCUGGGUGUGGUUGCAUGGGGCAAUGGUAUCGGGCCCGGGCGGGUGCCGAGCUGGCAGUCGGCGGCGGUCGCGUGCGACACGUGCCAGCGGUCGGCUCGGUCCUGUUCGCGGCUCACAAUUCGCCUCGCCUCGGUGUAAAAGCCGGUCAUCUGUCCGACCCGUCUUGAAACACGGACCAAGGAGUUUAGCGUGUGCGCGAGUCAUUGGGCGUUGAAAACCCAAAGGCGCAAUGAAAGUGAAGGUCUGCCUUGUGCAGCUGAUGUGUGAUCCUGGCCACUGCGGUGCGCCGGGCGCAACAUAGUCCCGUCCCGAUCGCGUGCGAUGGGGCGGAGACAGAGCGUACGCGCUGAG